GCCCCACUAAUGCAUUGGUUCUUAACAUUGACUACACACUGGAAUCACCUAGGAAGCUUUAAAUAAAUGCUGACGUCCGGGCUCCACCUUCACCAAUUCUGGGGUGCACCCUGGCAUUUAGAGUUUUUUUUUCCUGAGAGAGAGAGAGAGAGCACACAAGCCAGAGGGAGGGACAGAGCGAGAGGGAGACAGAGUCUUAAGAAGGCUCCAUGCUAGGAGUGGAACUCAAUCUCAUGAUCCUGAGAUCGUGACCUUAGCUGAGAUCAUGACCUGAACUGAAAUCCAGAGGCAAACACUUAACUGACUGAGCCACCCAGGCACCCUGGGGAUUUUUUAAAGUCCUCCAAUGACUCUAAUGGCCAGCCAAGGUUGAGAAGCCACUGCAGGAGGCUUUUAAGCAGAAGGUGACGUGAUAUCAAUUUUCUUUAUGAGAGAUACACUGGCUGCCACCUAAAUUCAUGAUGCUCCCACAGUGGUGCCCAGGACAUAGUUGAUAUUUGAUGUUUUCUUCCUUCCCUCCUUUCAAUCAUUCAGAAAUUGGGAAUUGCUGAACAUUGCAGAGAGAGGCAGAGAGAGAGAGCCCAACCAGAUACCAAGAGGGAAGUAUCUCAGCGAAUCUGCCUCCAGCUAGUGACUGUUUUUUUACCUUCUUCUGUUCUUGGAGUUGUCCAUUUAUCUCCCACUUCCAGACCUGGAGCCUCACCUCCUGUUUUUCAGACCCAAACUUCACAUCGUCUUUGACAGCCCUGAGGACCCCUCCACCCAGCACUCCCCCAAGCAGAGUAGCUCCGAGGCACACUCAGAAGCAACUUGAGGCCCUCCCACGCCACUCCGGGGCAGCAGGAAGUGUGUGGAGAGCCUCAUGCCCUUUCUGCGUUGCUGCCACCAAGCCAGCAUUCCUACGCUCUGGCUGUCACAGCGUGCCAGCACCCCCGAAAGAUGGAGAAUGCAAGCAGGAGUCGCAUCUGCUAGUUCACAGCUCUCUCCUUGGCUCCUACAACAGUGCCUGGUGUCUGGCUGGCCCCCAGAUAUACCCAUGUUGUUGCUUGUGGCUGUGGCCUUUCUGUUCAUGAUGCCAGGCAAGGCUCAGAAAACUCCCUGCCCUUGGGCCAAAUCCUGCCUACCGCCUGUUCUGCAAAGUACUUUGUAUGAGAGACCCGCAUGACACUGAAAGGAAAGACGUUGAAGAGGAGAUGGUACCAUGUGAAGUCAUUGCUGCUGUCAAACCCAGAAGGUUCGAUCGUCUGGUAAUAAGGCUUGCCCGAAGGAAGUAAUCCAAGUGGUUCUCGAUGUUAGUUAAUGACUGUUGGCACCCUUUUCCUUUUCACAAUCGUAUGGACACAUUUAUGCAGCAAGAGAAGCAAGGUCAAAAAUCUACCCACGCUCUGCCUCAUUUAGGAUGCUUUUGCCUGCAAAUAACAUAUCCAUCUCAAAUAGCUUUAACUUGGGGGAUUUAUUCUCUCACAUACCAAGAAGGAUGGAGGUAGGGUGGGCAUUCCAGGAGUCAAAGGGCAUCAUCAAGGACCCAGGUUCCUUCUAGCUUCUUAUCCUCCCUCUGCAGUGAGUCUGCUAGUCCUCAGCUAACCAUCUCCCACCCCCCAACCACCACCACCACCCCACCUCCUGCCCUGGUCCCAAGUUGCCUGCCAUGAUCAUAGUCAUUACCGGCACCAGAAUGGAGACUUUCCCGUAUGUCUCUCCUUUUCAAUGAGGAAAAUCUCCCCAGAUGCACCCCAGUGGGUGUCUUGAUGUUUCAUGGCCAUAAGGACUGUACACGCCCACGCCUAAACCAAGCACUGACAAGGAAUGGGGCACAGUGGCCAGUUUGGACUAACCAGGAUUUGCCUCUGAGUCUUGGGGGAGACACCCACUUUGCCUAUACAAGUGACUGUACAGAAAGAAGGAGGACCCUUAAAAUUGGGAUGACCAACAGCACAUGCUGCAGGCUACAACUCUGUGUGCAAAACAUGAGCUUUCUCAUUUGUCUGUAAAUAUCUUGCUCAUGAGUGCCCAUCCCACCGAUGGCAAAGGUGGGAAAAUCUUAACUUCCAAUUAAGGUAACUCGGUCACUGUUUGGAGCAGUCCUCUCAAGGCUCAAUUUCUUUUGGAUAAAUAUUUAAUCCAUUUUAUGGGUCAGAUUGGCUCCCAGGGCUAUCUUUCUAUUCUCCAGGGUUAAUUCCUCAUUCUCCCUGUCGAGACACCAUCCAGGUACCUGGACAGCCUUUCUUCUGAUGAUGGGGGUUGGGGAGGAAGGAGGUCCUCAUGCUCCUAAUACUGGCUCUGAGAUCUUCACUGCCCUCCACAGAGAUGUCCUGCAUCAUCACUGACACUUCUUCAGGCCUCUCUACUGCUGAUUACCAAGUCAGUGGAGCUCACGGUCAGUCCUUCUACUUGGGUAUAUGCCUGGGUGGCUAGACAUGACCCACCUUAGUUUCCUGCUGGCUCUGCGGAUCCCUCUGGGACUUGGUUGUGACUUCAAUUCAGUCUCCCUGGCCUGGGUAAUCCAUCCUGCAGCUCUUGGCUACAGGAUCACUUUGACCUUGUAAUAAAAGGACAGCUAACACAUUCAAUUGCUUUCCUUGUCCUUUCAGUGAUGGUGAAGGGGGAGCUAGGAAAUUGUCAGAGACUCAAGACAUUGGCACAGACCCUCUCUGCAUGAGCACAUGACACCACCAAUGGUAAUGCAGCCCCCCCCCCAGGUUGGUGCAGAGCUCCUUAUGACUUACCGUUAUC
Long non-coding RNA from Nyctereutes procyonoides (raccoon dog), 2733 nucleotides. RefSeq lists it as uncharacterized. The record is from RefSeq and is a predicted model, not a curated record. The transcript has 4 exons. NCBI's taxonomy places the organism in Eukaryota, Metazoa, Chordata, Mammalia, Carnivora, Canidae.